RNAcentral lists this ribosomal RNA (513 nucleotides) under uncultured bacterium. RNAcentral describes it as "bacterial SSU rRNA". It matches the Rfam family "Bacterial small subunit ribosomal RNA", at positions 903 to 1397 of the family's 1533-position model. The record is from RNAcentral.
AAAUGAAUAGACGGGGACCCGCACAAGCGGUGGAACAUGUGGUUCAAUUCGAUGCUACGCGAAGAACCUCACCAGGGCUUGACAUAUAGGAAGUACGAACCUGAAAGGGGGAGGACCUGUCAAGUCAGGAACCUAUACAGGUGCUACAUGGCUGUCGUCAGCUCGUGCCGUGAGGUGUUGGGUUAAGUCCCGCAACGAGCGCAACCCUUUUUCUUAGUUGCUACGUUUGAAGCCGCAAGGCAGAGAACAGCACUCUAAGGAGACUGCUCGGGAUAACCGAGAGGAAGGUGGGGAUGACGUCAAGUCCGUAUGGCCUUUAUGCCCUGGGCUACACACGUGUUACAAUGCCGACUACAAAGCGUCGCCAAACCGCGAGGUGGAGCUAAUCGCAAAAAAGUCGGCCCAGUUCAGAUCGGAGUCUGCAACUCGACUCCGUGAAGCCGGAAUCGCUAGUAAUGGCGGGUCAGCUACACCGCCGUGAAUACGUUCCCGGGUCUUGUACACACCGCCCGU